This 484-nucleotide ribosomal RNA is filed under the name uncultured bacterium. RNAcentral's name for it is "partial 16S ribosomal RNA". It matches the Rfam family "Bacterial small subunit ribosomal RNA", at positions 30 to 507 of the family's 1533-position model. The record is from RNAcentral.
AUUGAACGCUGGCGGCAGGCCUAACACAUGCAAGUCGAGCGGAUGAAGGGAGCUUGCUCCUGGAUUCAGCGGCGGACGGGUGAGUAAUGCCUAGGAAUCUGCCUUGUAUUGGGGGAUAACGUCCGGAAACGGGCGCUAAUACCGCAUACGUCCUGAUGGAGAAAGUGGGGGAUCUUCGGACCUCACGCUAUCAGAUGAGCCUAGGUCGGAUUAGCUAGUUGGUGGGGUAAAGGCCUACCAAGGCGACGAUCCGUAACUGGUCUGAGAGGAUGAUCAGUCACACUGGAACUGAGACACGGUCCAGACUCCUACGGGAGGCAGCAGUGGGGAAUAUUGGACAAUGGGCGAAAGCCUGAUCCAGCCAUGCCGCGUGUGUGAAGAAGGUCUUCGGAUUGUAAAGCACUUUAAGUUGGGAGGAAGGGCAGUAAGUUAAUACCUUGCUGUUUUGACGUUACCAACAGAAUAAGCACCGGCUAACUUCGUG